GGGGUUAUAGCUCAGUUGGUAGAGCGCUUGCUUAGCGUGCAUGAGGUCUUGGGUUCAAUUCCCAAUAACUCCA
This 73-nucleotide transfer RNA is filed under the name Dactylellina haptotyla CBS 200.50. RNAcentral describes it as "tRNA-Ala (AGC) (tRNA-Ala-AGC-1 1 to 5)". It matches the Rfam family "tRNA". Rfam says of the family: Transfer RNA (tRNA) molecules are approximately 80 nucleotides in length. Their secondary structure includes four short double-helical elements and three loops (D, anti-codon, and T loops). The record is from RNAcentral. Lineage: Eukaryota; Fungi; Ascomycota; Orbiliomycetes; Orbiliales; Orbiliaceae.